RNAcentral lists this long non-coding RNA (9734 nucleotides) under Homo sapiens (human). RNAcentral describes it as "HSALNT0314748". The record is from RNAcentral. Lineage: Eukaryota; Metazoa; Chordata; Mammalia; Primates; Hominidae.
GGCCUGUUUGAGCAGGCAUUGCAAAUCUUAAAAACAAUAAGAUGAAUAAUCAUCACUGUUUGAUCACUGCCAUUUAUUGAGUACCUUCUCCAUGGCAGAUGCUAAGAUAAGACCUAACAUGCAUCAUCUCUGAUUUUACAAGUCUUCGAGGUUGCAGCCAUGAAAAUGCCCUGGUCAGCCAUGAUUGACCAUGACAGGGGUACUAGUGCAGGCCUGUUCCUGCUGGACAUGGAACCCCUCUAAUGGCUUAAGGACUCCCACUGGCUGGCAGAAACUUUCUUAGAACAACACUGUAGUCUAAGACUCUUCCUACUGAAUUCUCUUUCCUUCUCCCUCUCCUUUCAUGGGGGUCAGGCCUGCACUGCAGUCUGGGGCUUCCUCUGCCUACUUCAGUUCCUUCCUGAACAUUUUACAGGUGUUUCCCCCAAUAAUUCUCUUAUAUGCCUAAUCCCAUCUUGGUGCCUGCAUCUCGAAGGAACUAACACAGUGGACAGGAGUCCCAUUUUGCAGACAGACACUGGAUCAAUGAUGAAGUUACUUGUGUAAGUCCUACAGCCAACAAAUGUUAAGAGCUGGGGUUGUGUGCAGGUAUGUUUGAUUCCACAAGCCAAGUCUUAGAAGCAUACUAGGCUUCCUCUCUAAUGAUCUAUGCAGGCUUAACUGUGAGGACAGGGAGUGAUGACACAUUUCAGUUUGGCCCCUUUGUUUUGUCGAUGAGAAACCUGAGACCAGUGAGGGAAAGGAUUCGCCCAUGGGUGCCAGUGGGAGGGGUGCACCUGGGCUGUGCACAGCCAUUUCCCUCCUUUGGAGGCUGAGGGAGGAGGUCACAGGGAGGCCUCAGGGUAUGGAGGGAGGUCAGGCUGGGGGGCUUAGUGUCUGACCCACCAGCCUGGCAGGCGGGAAUGUGCCUGUAGAAGCCCACGGCCCUCUUGGGGAGAAGCCAUGAAGUGAGGACUGAGUGCUGCCUGGAGGUGCUGGCUGGGAUGCACAGGGAAGAGCUGUCAGGGUAUGGGUCUAACACUGGAACAGCUGGGGGACAUUCCCUGGAUAUCCCUGCAUUGCCUUGAGGCUCUCCCAUCCCUGUUUGAUCCGUAAGCUCCAAGGAGACAUGUUUCCCAGCCAUAAUGCCUUCUGAUCCCAAUCUCUUCUACUCUUUUCAUUGGCAAGAGUCAUUCUCACCCGGGUUUUCUUAUAUAAUAAUUAUAAACUCAUUCAGGGCCUGUGAGUGAAAAGGCACACAUAUACAUUCAGGUCUAAUAUUCACUGAGCAACCAUCAGCACAAUGGUAUGUGACCUCUUUGAAUGCUGCACUAAUGCUCCACUGUCUAGAAGGAGGCCAGACUGCUCUGGGGACCAGGUGCAGAGGGUGCCCUCAAGUGUCUAGUGUCAGAGAGAGAGGGGCUACUCCACUUUGGCCAGGGUGAACUUGAGUUGGUGAUGACAAACAUCUGCAGCUAGUCUAUUUUUCUAAUCUCACCCUCCAAACAGCCCCAUCUUCUUGCAGGGAGGAUGGGUGAAGGCAUUUUCAAAAAUGGACAUCACAUGUGACAAACAGGCAAAGGACCCUGACAGAGCCACAAAACUGACACGCUCAUGAAAACUCAGACCGCUGACAAUGGUGAGCGCCGACCAAUUCAGCGCCAGGCGUGGAGGCUUCUGGCAAGAGUGGUGGGCUCUGUGCGUCCUGAUGGUGGCAGCAGAGACCAGCUUGGGAGCCACCUGGCUCCUCUGCCCUAGCCCAUUAUGGCCUGAAUCCAAUCAAUUUCAGUUCUCAGCACUUCUGAAAACGUGCGUGGCUUAGAGUGUCUGGCAGGGCUCAGGAGAGAAAAGCAUUUCUCAGCCCCGGGACACAUAUAUGCCUCCAGGCACUGGUUGUGGCUUGCAAUCUGGGAGGGCAGGUGAACGGACACCCUCCCUCCUUGCACAGGCCUGGGAUCUGCCUUACUCAACUCCCACUUCUACCAGGAGCAGAGGAUCACCGCUGCCCAGCACCCCGCCCAUCUGAAUUCUGACUCUGGUGGCUUCAGAGAAGCAAGGUAGGGGCCAGUGCUGGUAUGAAAUGCCAGAUGAGAGGAAACUGAUGCAUGCACUUUACUCCUGACUCAGAGUGCCUGAAAUAUCUGGCAAACUGGCAAAGGAUGAAACCCUUCUUUGAGGUCUGUAGAGUAGCUUUAAGAUAAAUGAAGCCACUGAGAAGGUCCAAAACAAGGGGCCCUUAGACGUGGAAGAGGUCUGCUUUCCUGAUAACUAGAGUGGUGCUGGGCUAUGAAAACAGUCCAAAUAGAUGAGGAUAGUUCCUGAGAGCACAGGGUUCUGAAGCUGGACAAAUAUUCUUCCACCUUAAUGGCCCUCUCACUGGAGCCUUCACAGGGUUAACGAUGGUCCCGCAGGAGUUGGGGCCAUGACUGAGGACAUGGAGCUGAUGUGGAGGCAGUCAGGGCCAAGGCAAGAGCCUCCUUGUGUAUAGUGGAAACGCAAGACAGACAUCAAAGGGAGUGGGGUGUGCGGUUCCCAAGGGGCUACCAGAGUCCACUUUUAUUAAAAGUUUGUGUCUUUCUUUAGAAAGUAAUAUGUUCCAUCUCCAGCACCUGAAGGCUCCUUUCAGGGUGCCAGAAGAAUCCUCAAGGGACAGUCCCAGGCUGUGUCCUUCCUCCUGUCUUGGCUGACAUUUUUAUGCAUGGUUUAGGCAGCCCAUGGGCUUUCCAGCUUUGCAAUAAGAUCUGAUCUAAUUUCAAGCUUAUACAUAACAGAAGGGCUGGGGGAGAAGUAGGAGUUCUUUUAGAAUUGCAAAAUCCAGGUGGGUGUAGCCUGUGGGGUGCAGGCUAUCCAGCUCAAAGAGGGAGGCCCAUAUCUCAGAUUCCCUAAUGCUCGGCACAGUGUCUGGCACACAAUGGGCACACAGGAAAUCCUGCACUGAAUCAAACAGAUUUUGUAUUACCAGAUCUAGGCUGACUCACUGUGUGGUCAGGACCUUGGGUCAAUCACUUCACCUGGUGACUCACUCCCUACCUGUAAGGUGUGGAGGACAGCUGGAGUCACUGUGGCACCUGUGUGUUUAGCAGUGUGUUUGCUUGUUCCUGCUUUUAUGUCUCUGGCUGGUCUAAGAUGGAAUGAUAAAAAAAUAACGGAAUGCACUUUGUAAACGAGAGCAUCCUAGACACAUGUAAAGAUUGGAAAAUUAGAAAGCUGUCUCUACUGUAGUUACUUCUCAGAUAUGACCAACCAUUAUUAAGAAUUCAUUGGCUAAUAGGGCUACAUUUUCUCAUGAUCAUUCUUCUGUUUUAGAAGUGGGCAACUGCAGUUUUAAGAAUAAAUGUGUAAAUGUGUGUUUUCAUGAGAGACAAUAAAGCUGUUUUCAUUAAGAAUGAAAUAUGCAACUUGCAAACACUUUUACUUUUCUUGAAUUGGGUCCUUCAGCAGAAGCAGUUUGCCCAGCCCUGACAUGGAAAGUUUACUUUGCUCAUCAACCUGAAGGAGACCGAAAGCUAUGAGAGGCGGCUCCUGAAAAGAAUCUAGACUCCGGAUAUAAAAAGAUCUUGCAACACAAGGCCAAGUGGAAAUCAUGGUUCGCAUUAAAGGCAUAAACCUCCUGCACUAACAACCCAGAGCAGGAGGAAAAGCUGGGAGACCUGGCUCAGCAGCCUUCCCUGAGGGAAGCCUUCGGGGCUUUGUUCCUCUUGAGAUCAGGGCAAGCCUAUGUAUGACCUGAAGCCAAUACAACCAGCAGAGCUGAUGCCAGUGCUGGCUGCCUGAGUGCUACUAAAGAAAGAGUCCACCAUCGGCUCCCUCUUCCGUAGCCAGACACAGGUGGAAUGCUGUGCUUCCUUUUGGGAGACAAAGCAGAAGCUACCCCAGAGGGGGCAGAUGGGAGACAGGCCCAGGCAAUGCAGCCCUACAAAGAAGACUUGAAGGGCCGGGGCUGAGCAGCUUGGAUGAAGAGAAGGCUGCCUUUCAGAGCUGUUUCAAAUGUUUCAGACGUUGCUAGACAAACUAGAGUUGUAUGGCUUCAGAUGGCACAGCUUAGGGCCAUAGAGUGGGAAUCACAAGAAGGCAAACUUUAGGCCCCCAGGAGAGCUGGACAACAACCUGGAGGGUCAGAGGAGAAUGGGCUGUCCAAGGAGCGGGGAUAUGAGGGUGGGGCAGUGUGGCCAUCCCUGGAAGGGGUAAGGGAGUGGCAGAUGGUAACCAUUUGGGGUGGGGUGUGGCUGAGGAUUCCUGCAAGGCUAUCAGAGAAACUCUAAGAAUCAUAAGAAUCAAAGCUCAAGUACAUGAGGGAAGACAUAAUGAAAUCCCUAAAGUUCUGAGAGGUUGUACCAGAUUCUUUAUGGAGAAUACAGAGAGAAUGCCUCCUGACUCCUCAUUCACAGAGUGCCAGGCAGCAGCAAGGAGAAGCUGGUGGCCUUGGGAGGGCAAAAACUAAGGACAAGGUCCACAAUGCAAUCAGCUCACAUCACCUACGAACAAAUAAAGUGGGGUGGGGGUGGAGAGUUGCUAGAGUUUACGUAACUCUCAAGCCUUAAUUUAGCUGCAAGAACUAGGUUUUUGCCAAAGCUAUAGAACUUCCCACCAGAUGAAAGCUUUAUCUCUUUUUCUUUCUUAGGAGAAGAGAGACAGAAGGAGAGAAGAGGGGCAGGAGGAGAGAAAACACAAGAAAGAGGAUGGAAGAUAAAGAGGAAGGCCAGAGUGAGGCAGGAGAAAGCUGAGCUGGAACCUAACUCCUGUUGAUCUGCUGCAGAGACCCUCUCAUUCCACAAUUGCUCCCGCCAUGGUAAGCUCCAUUCCUAAUUACCUAGGCAAACUGGCCUGCAUUUCUCUCCAGAGUUCUAAAGGAUGGUGUGAGAGUGUCUGCCAAGAUUUGGAUUUUACAGAGACAAGUCUCAGCUUUUGCUUUCUGGUUCAAGGUUUAUGCUUUUGGAAGGCUGUGAUGACAGCAGCAGGAAAUAGGACAAAUAGGAGUUUUUGUUAGGGGGGCAGCUAAUAGAACAGCCUCAUGAAGGACCUAGGCACACCCUAGAGAUGCAAGGGACAGGCCUGCAGUGGUGGCUCCUAUAAACCCAGUGCACUGAAUCCCCAGAGCUUGCAGCCCAUGGCUUGGGGUCUGGUCCAGUGCACUCGUCAGAGAGCAUAACAGGACCUUUGGGACUCCUAGGGAACCUCUUGGAGAGUCCUGGGACCUGCCUAAAGUACCUGACUUGAGCACACCAGCAUCUGUGUACCCUUAGCUUCAAAUUCUCCAAAGCCAGAAAAGGAAAAAGACACAAUGUCCUGGCCUGAUCAUGCCUGAGAAUCACUUACCUAAAAAGAACAUUGGGGCUUUUGACCUGACAUCCUCCCAGGCAUGCUGACAUCUCUCAGCACUUUCUCUCCCCUCACAAAAGAACUUGUUGAGGAGGAAGGAGAAGAGGCAGCGGCUAGUGGUUAGCAGAGACAGUGGCCAAGUGUCCAGGAAGAGGGGAUGGGCAGGCCUACCUGAGGAAGGGCUGAUGUCUAAGGAGGGGGUCUGCUCCCUCUGGCACACAGCCUGCCUGCUCCUGAGACCCUGUGGCUUCUCCUGGAGCACUGUGCAAAGCUGCUUGGUAUUCUCACUUGGUUCUGUUGGAUGGCUGCAAAGCUGUCUGGCCCUGCUCUCCUCAGUUGCCAAAGGUUCACUGCCGGCUCCAGUUUGCCUGGAACGAAACAGCUCAGGCAACACAGCUGUGCAUCCUUGUGAGACUGCCUAAUUUCCCAUUUCAAGGCAGGAUGCCAUACCCCAAGGUGUAAUUUGAGUUUUGGGCAUAAGCUGAAUUUUGCAACUGAAUUCUGAAACUCAGCCCUCCAGGCUGUGCGUGCUUGGGAAUUAAAAAGCUUUCUUCUCCUUUUCCCUCCUCCACUAUCUACCACCCUCCCCAAUAUCAAUACUGAUACCAUCAUUAAUGUUAAAUUUCUAUUUAUUGAGUGUCUACUAUGUGCUAGGCACUUGUAUGGCUGCACCUGACAGCAAUGGCUUACCUUAAGCCUAUCCUGAGAAUGACACUAUGGUCUAAGAAGAAUGUGUGCUUGGAAUUCCAAGCUAAGAAAUCUGGAAGUGGCCGAUCUGGAGAUUCAUUCCUUACUUAUGGGAAACAUCUAAACCUCUGGCCCAUUUCAUGGAAUGCAGGCUGUACAGGGGACUGAAGCCCUUUGUUUUGGGUUAAAUGAAAGUUGACAGGUGGAGGUUGUUAGGGGGAGGGCGCUAAGUGAAAAUGCUAUAUCAACUGCAUGCUUUUUACCAGCAGAUGCAGUUCUAUCCAGCUCAUCACCACUGGACUCCUCUGUAUGUGAGUCCCCUCAAUAAACCUGAUGUCUCAUUUGCUGGCUGCAGGUCUCUUUUUCAGCCUGUUGAACAUGGUACCAUCACUACUGAAGUCAACAAGGGUCCAGCAUGACAACACUGUACUAAUCAAUUUCCCUGUAUCAUCUUAAUCUUCACAAAACCCUAUGAGGUAGAAAAGGACAAAUCUUAACCCAUGUCCUAUGUGAUUAUAAGGGUACUCACCCUCCACCUUUUAAUUAUUCUCUUUUGGGCUACAAAUCUGUGGAUCUGCAUACCUGAAUGAUUCACUGUGGCUUUCUGGUAGAAAAACUAAUAACACCAUUUGUCCAUGUCAAGCCAAGGAGACAAGCUCAACAUACAAAGAACAAGGAGAGAACAAUGGAAGAUGGCCUAUAAUUCAGAAGCACAUUGGGUGGAGCAUAUUGCACAUGUAGAAGCUUGUCACGGAACCCAAGAAAGCUGGAGGAACCUGGGAAGGCUUCCUGGAAGAAGGGAAAGCUGAGUUCUCUUAUCACCACUCCACCAUUUGUUCAUGUCCUCAUGUACAUAUUCAACAAACAUUUAUUGAGGGCUGAGUGUGGCUUUGUGUAUCCCAGAUAAACUAGUAUCCUGAUCUUAGCCAUGGAUCUCAGCUGCUACUAUCUCAUUCCCCACCAUGGGCAAUAAGAUGCAUACUGGUAGGGAAAAUUCUGGCAAAUUUUGUAAAGUUUAUCCAUAGGCAUAAACACUUUACCCUGUGUUAUGCUCAGAAGAGGAACACACAUUUAUUAAGCACCUACCACAUCUGCAAAUAACUUUACUCCCAAAAACUGAUUUGAUACUUAAGCAGCUUUUGUAAGGUGUGUUUCAUUCCCUAAAACUAAAGUUCAGAGAGGUUAAAAGAUUUAUCCAAGGUCACACAUUCAAGGUGGAGCCAAGAUGCACAACUAAGUCUAUUACUGUUUUUUUCAUACUCCCCCACUUCUCUGUCUCCCUCUUUCUAUUCUCAGCUGCAGACUCUGCCAGCUGCAAACUUCUUUAGUAGUUAUUCCUGAUUACUUCUGCUCCUGGUGAGCUCAUCACCUGAUUAAAGGGCUCCUAGCUUCACCAGACCUUGGAGAUGACAAACAGAUGACCCUGGAGAGGCAGGCUCUCUAGGGCUGUUCCAUUUUGGUCUGGCCCCCAUUCCAGCCGGGGAUAUAGUUCAAACCCUGACUCUGAGUUGAGCCCAAGAAAAUAAGACCAAGAUGAAAGCUUAAGUGCAUCCCCUGAAAGGCUCUUAUCUCCAGGCUAAGCUUGGAAGUGGGGAGACAGAGCACCACAACCCAACUUGGGGAUGUUGUCUCUUGUAGAAACACCUUCCUCAGUAACAGAAGGGUAGCUGCCCCUAUGUCCUAGAGAGCGGGAGUAAGAGAAAGUGGCUCCUUGCCUCUGAGAUUUGCUUAGCUGAUCCUCCCUCACCCCAACCAUAGCUCUUAACAAACCCAGGUACGCAUAAAUAUAAAUACCACCCUAUGUGUAUUUCCUGUGCCCUCCCUUUUCUCUUUCCUGAGGAGUUAUGGAGAGAAAAUAAAUGCCAGAAUUACAGAAAACUAGGUAUAAAUCUACUCACUAGCUUUAUGGCCUUGCAUCUAUUUCCCAUAUAAGCUGGCAGGGUUGGGAUUCUGUCUAGCUCUUUCCAUUUAUCAUGAUGUCCUCUUUUUGGUUCUUUUAGAUUUUGCAUCGGGUUGAUGUAGUGGAUGCUGUAGUCCACUACCCAGAUUCCUUCCCCAACCCACAACAAUGAGGUUCUCAUUCCGGAGCUGCUAGGAGGGAUGCCAGAUAAUAGCACACAGCUGAACUUCUCUUCAGCUAUUGCCCUCAGAUUAAGAAAGCUGCCUUGCUCAAGGUUACACGCCUUUCCUGGGAAACCAGUAUCCAAUGACUGGUUCCUGUAAAAGGAAUGGAGCUGCCUUAAAAGAGCUGCCUUGCUUCAAUUUGGGAAGACUAUGAAGAGCCAUCCCAGCUCUGGAGUUCUCCGUAGGGUUGGGUUUUUGAGACUAUGCAGAAGUUAUUCCAUGAGUUCCAAGCCCAGGUCAUGAAAGAUAACUUGUAAUAAAUCUGGCUACCCUGAAGCUGCCAUGCUUGAGAGACCACACGAGAUGGAGAGAGAUGCUUAGGAGUCCCAGCUGUCCAAGCCUCCAGCUAUGUGAAUCUUCCCAGCAGCAACUGCCAGACAUGUGGUACACCCAAAAUGACUUUGGGGCUACACUUGGAAUUGGCAAGGUUCCAGAAAACAGAGGGACUAUCAUCAGAGACAGCGCACAAAAAGUGGGAGAAAGGUCACCAGCCUCACUCAUGUUUAGGGCUAUUAUGAAUAAAGCUGCUAUGAACACUUGUUUACAAGUUCUUUGUGAGGACACAUGUUUUCAUUUAUCUUGGGAAAAUACCUAGAGAUGGAACUCUGGGACACAUGGUAAUAAAGUAUAUUGGCAUAAUGCAAGAGUCAAGAUGCAGAAAAUAACUACUGUGUGAUGUCUCUCUCCCAGCUUUAACCCGCCUGAAGGGCAGCACUGAGUUCAACACACUGUCCCACAAUUGUUGCACUCUCACACUGAAGUGAACAGAUUCUUUCUCCGUGCCGUGCAGCUCCCGGCAGAGGAUGAGGGAAGGGUACCAUCGGUGAUUCAGCACUGUGUUUCCUAUCCUCUUCAAUGACUCUUUCAGCGAUAUGAAGGUAAAACCAGGUACUGUGAGUGCUCAUCUUAUUUUUGGUUCUUUUGAAGGUGUUUUUUGGUGUAGAUAGUUAUUAAAUUUGGUGUUCCCGCAUGGGGGAACAAUUGAUAGAGCCUUCUAUUUGAUCAUUUUGCUCUGCUCAUUCUAUAUACCACAUUUUCUUUAUCAAAUCUUAUUUAAUUUUGAUUCCAUAAUUUACUAAAGACUAAAUGUGAUAUGCUAAGUUUUUCACAACAAUUAUAUUUUAUCCCACUUUUUUGUCUUCAAAUAGCUUUUGCUUUUGUAUUUCUGUGCUAUGUUAUAGUACAUUACACAUUCAUUGUGGAUUGCAACUUUUAUAAAACAAUCCUCUAUCCAAAGCAUUUUCCUCUGGAGUUUUAUUUUAACCAAUAUUAAUAGUGCCACUACUACCUUGUUCUGACUUUUGCUUUUUUUGAUUUAAAAAUAUAUUUGUUUUAUUUUUGUCUGAUUUUUCUCUAUCUUUAUUUGUAAAUCUUUUGUGUCAUUUGAGUUAGGUGAAUGGAGCACAUGGCUAUGCUUUGUUUUAAAUGAAAGUCUUUGUCAUCCAGCGGAGGACUUUAAUUCAUUUACAUUUAUUGACAUAAAUGUUGACUUGAAAGCGUGUGUCAGAUCCCUUCACUAUAUCUUCAGACCUGCCCCAAGGAGUGAGGAAGGGCAACACCAAGAACUUCUCUCCAAGGACCAUAACCUGCGAACCCCAUCUCACCUCCUCCUGCCAGAUGGACAC